CACCUCUCAGGGUCACACCUGGAGGGUUUCCAGUUCUCUACCAGUCUUAACUAUGGGAGGGAGAGUCAAGCAGUGGCAUAGUCAUUCCAUUCCUAACUUAGCCAGGGGUUAGCGAGUGGAAGGCAAUCUGCCACAAGU
Small nucleolar RNA from Ornithorhynchus anatinus (platypus), 138 nucleotides. Lineage: Eukaryota; Metazoa; Chordata; Mammalia; Monotremata; Ornithorhynchidae. The record is from RefSeq and is a predicted model, not a curated record.